AUCUGUACCAGUAUAGUGGGGGAUGAAGCGCAGAAUGUAUGGCUUGUGUUUCGAUCUGGGUCAUAAAUAUAUUAGCAAGAAUGGGCAAAACAGGAUUGCCUGUACUUAAACCAUCUAUUUGAAGGAAAUGUUCAUUGUUGAAAAUGAAGUUGUAGAGUUUUUUCUUCAUUACCCAUUCAAG
Long non-coding RNA from Limulus polyphemus (Atlantic horseshoe crab), 181 nucleotides. RefSeq lists it as uncharacterized. NCBI's taxonomy places the organism in Eukaryota, Metazoa, Arthropoda, Merostomata, Xiphosura, Limulidae. The transcript has 3 exons. The record is from RefSeq and is a predicted model, not a curated record.